GGAGAGGUGACAGAGCGGCCGAAUGUGACGGUCUUGAAAACCGUUGUUGUGCAAGCAACCAGGGGUUCGAAUCCCCUCCUCUCCGCCG
Molecule: transfer RNA, 88 nt
Filed under: Serinibacter arcticus
Lineage: Bacteria; Bacillati; Actinomycetota; Actinomycetes; Micrococcales; Beutenbergiaceae
Description: Serinibacter sp. K3-2 tRNA-Ser
Rfam family: tRNA
About the family: Transfer RNA (tRNA) molecules are approximately 80 nucleotides in length. Their secondary structure includes four short double-helical elements and three loops (D, anti-codon, and T loops).
Source: RNAcentral